RNAcentral lists this ribosomal RNA (461 nucleotides) under uncultured Rikenellaceae bacterium. RNAcentral describes it as "bacterial SSU rRNA". It matches the Rfam family "Bacterial small subunit ribosomal RNA", at positions 920 to 1382 of the family's 1533-position model. The record is from RNAcentral. Lineage: Bacteria; Pseudomonadati; Bacteroidota; Bacteroidia; Bacteroidales; Rikenellaceae.
CCCGCACAAGCGGAGGAACAUGUGGUUUAAUUCGAUGAUACGCGAGGAACCUUACCUGGGCUAGAACGUCCUUGGAAUACCCCGGAAACGGGGUAGCCGGCAACGGCCGGGACGAGGUGCUGCAUGGUUGUCGUCAGCUCGUGCCGUGAGGUGUCGGGUUAAGUCCCAUAACGAGCGCAACCCCUACCGUUAGUUGCCAGCGGGUCAAGCCGGGCACUCUAAGGGAACUGCCGGCGUAAGCCGCGAGGAAGGCGGGGAUGACGUCAAAUCAGCACGGCCCUUACGUCCAGGGCUACACACGUGUUACAAUGGCCGGUACAGAGGGCAGCCACCCCGCGAGGGGGCGCGAAUCCCGAAAGCCGGUCUCAGUUCGGAUCGGAGUCUGAAACCCGACUCCGUGAAGCUGGAUUCGCUAGUAAUCGCGCAUCAGCCAUGGCGCGGUGAAUACGUUCCCGGGCCUU